GUGCUCGCGGCAGCACAUACACUGAAACUGAAACGGUACGGAGAAGAUUAGCAUGGCCCUUGUGCAAGGAUGACACGCCAAUUCGUGAAGCCUUCCAUGUGAAA
Myotis daubentonii (Daubenton's bat) is the source of this 104-nucleotide small nuclear RNA. NCBI's taxonomy places the organism in Eukaryota, Metazoa, Chordata, Mammalia, Chiroptera, Vespertilionidae. The record is from RefSeq and is a predicted model, not a curated record.